CGCUGGCGGCGUGCCUAAUACAUGCAAGUCGAACGCUCCUACCGGUGCUUGCACCGGGAAAGAAGAGUGGCGGACGGGUGAGUAACACGUGGGUAACCUACCUACAAGCGGGGGAUAACAUUCGGAAACGGAUGCUAAUACCGCAUAGAUCUUUUUGUCUCCUGGCAGAAAGAAGAAAGACGGUUUCGGCUGUCACUUGUAGAUGGACCCGCGGCGCAUUAGUUAGUUGGUGAGGUAAUGGCUCACCAAGACGAUGAUGCGUAGCCGACCUGAGAGGGUGAUCGGCCACACUGGGACUGAGACACGGCCCAGACUCCUACGGGAGGCAGCAGUAGGGAAUCUUCCGCAAUGGACGAAAGUCUGACGGAGCAACGCCGCGUGAGUGAAGAAAAGGUUUUCGGAUCGUAAAACUCUGUUGUUAGAGAAGAACAAGGAUGAGAGUAACUGCUCAUCCCUUGACGGUAUCUAACCAGAAAGCCAUGGCUAACUACGUGCCAGCCGCCGC
This 505-nucleotide ribosomal RNA is filed under the name uncultured bacterium. RNAcentral's name for it is "bacterial SSU rRNA". It matches the Rfam family "Bacterial small subunit ribosomal RNA", at positions 34 to 518 of the family's 1533-position model. The record is from RNAcentral.